RNAcentral lists this small nuclear RNA (107 nucleotides) under Notamacropus eugenii (tammar wallaby). Lineage: Eukaryota; Metazoa; Chordata; Mammalia; Diprotodontia; Macropodidae. The record is from RNAcentral.
GUGCUUGCUUUAGCAGCACAUAUACUAAAAUUGGAACAAUACAGAGAAGAUUAUUAUGGCCCCUGAACAAGGAUGACAUGCAAAUUCAUGAAGCAUUUCAUAUUUAA